This 439-nucleotide ribosomal RNA is filed under the name uncultured bacterium. RNAcentral describes it as "partial 16S ribosomal RNA". It matches the Rfam family "Bacterial small subunit ribosomal RNA", at positions 339 to 795 of the family's 1533-position model. The record is from RNAcentral.
CUACGGGCGGCUCCAGUGGGGAAUUUUGCGCAAUGGGGGAAACCCUGACGCAGCAAUACCGCGUGAGUGAAGAAGGCCUUUGGGUCGUAAAGCUCUUUUCUUGGGGAAGAUAGUGACGGUACCCAAGGAAUAAGCACCGGCUAACUCCGUGCCAGCAGCCGCGGUAAUACGGAGGGUGCAAGCGUUGUUCGGAUUUACUGGGCGUAAAGGGCACGUAGGCGGCACAGCAAGUUAAGGGUGAAAUCCCGGGGCUCAACUCCGGAACUGCUCUUAAAACUGCUGAGCUAGAGAUAGUCAGAGGCGGGUGGAAUUCCAGGUGUAGAGGUGAAAUUCGUAGAUAUCUGGAGGAACACCGGUGGCGAAGGCGGCCCGCUGGGGCUAUUCUGACGCUAAGGUGCGAAAGCGUGGGGAGCAAACGGGAUUAGAUACCCUCGUAGUC